Molecule: ribosomal RNA, 834 nt
Filed under: Candida albicans
Lineage: Eukaryota; Fungi; Ascomycota; Pichiomycetes; Serinales; Debaryomycetaceae
Description: LSU rRNA
Rfam family: Eukaryotic large subunit ribosomal RNA
Source: RNAcentral
ACAGGGAUUGCCUCAGUAGCGGCGAGUGAAGCGGCAAAAGCUCAAAUUUGAAAUCUGGCGUCUUUGGCGUCCGAGUUGUAAUUUGAAGAAGGUAUCUUUGGGCCCGGCUCUUGUCUAUGUUCCUUGGAACAGGACGUCACAGAGGGUGAGAAUCCCGUGCGAUGAGAUGACCCGGGUCUGUGUAAAGUUCCUUCGACGAGUCGAGUUGUUUGGGAAUGCAGCUCUAAGUGGGUGGUAAAUUCCAUCUAAAGCUAAAUAUUGGCGAGAGACCGAUAGCGAACAAGUACAGUGAUGGAAAGAUGAAAAGAACUUUGAAAAGAGAGUGAAAAAGUACGUGAAAUUGUUGAAAGGGAAGGGCUUGAGAUCAGACUUGGUAUUUUGCAUGCUGCUCUCUCGGGGGCGGCCGCUGCGGUUUACCGGGCCAGCAUCGGUUUGGAGCGGCAGGAUAAUGGCGGAGGAAUGUGGCACGGCUUCUGCUGUGUGUUAUAGCCUCUGACGAUGCUGCCAGCCUAGACCGAGGACUGCGGUUUUUAACCUAGGAUGUUGGCAUAAUGAUCUUAAGUCGCCCGUCUUGAAACACGGACCAAGGAGUCUAACGUCUAUGCGAGUGUUUGGGUGUAAAACCCGUACGCGUAAUGAAAGUGAACGAAGGUGGGGGCCCAUUAGGGUGCACCAUCGACCGAUCCUGAUGUGUUCGGAUGGAUUUGAGUAAGAGCAUAGCUGUUGGGACCCGAAAGAUGGUGAACUAUGCCUGAAUAGGGUGAAGCCAGAGGAAACUCUGGUGGAGGCUCGUAGCGGUUCUGACGUGCAAAUCGAUCGUCGAAUUUGGGUAUA